AAUCAACGCUGGCGGCGUGCCUAACACAUGCAAGUCGCACGAGAAAGGGGAGCAAUCCCUGAGUAAAGUGGCGCACGGGUGAGUAACACGUGACUAACCUACCCUCGAGUGGGGAAUAACCUAGAGAAAUCUGGGCUAAUACCGCAUAACACUUACGAGUCAAAGCAGCAAUGCGCUUGAGGAGGGGGUCGCGGCAGAUUAGCUAGUUGGCGGGGUAAUGGCCCACCAAGGCAAUGAUCUGUAUCCGGCCUGAGAGGGCGCACGGACACACUGGAACUGAAACACGGUCCAGACUCCUACGGGAGGCAGCAGUGGGGAAUUUUGCGCAAUGGGGGAAACCCUGACGCAGCAACGCCGCGUGGAGGAUGAAAUCCCUUGGGAUGUAAACUCCUUUCGAUAGGGAAGAUAAUGACGGUACCUAUAGAAGAAGCCCCGGCUAACUUCGUGCCAGCAGCCGCCGUAAC
RNAcentral lists this ribosomal RNA (464 nucleotides) under uncultured bacterium. RNAcentral describes it as "bacterial SSU rRNA". It matches the Rfam family "Bacterial small subunit ribosomal RNA", at positions 32 to 524 of the family's 1533-position model. The record is from RNAcentral.